CCUACGGGUGGCAGCAGUGAGGAAUAUUGGUCAAUGGACGCAAGUCUGAACCAGCCAUGCCGCGUGAAGGAAGACGGCUCUAUGGGUUGUAAACUGCUUUUGUCCGGGGGUAAACGCAGAUACGCGUAUCUGUCUGAAAGUAUCGUACGAAUAAGGAUCGGCUAACUCCGUGCCAGCAGCCGCGGUACUCCGGAGGAUUCAAGCGUUAUCCGGAUUUAUUGGGUUUAACGGGUGCGUAGGCGGUCGGAUAAGUUAGAGGUUAAAUCCGGAGGCUCAACUUCGGAAUUGCAUCUGAUACGGUUCGGCUAGAGAGUAGUUGCGGUAGGCGGAAUGUAUGGUGUAGCGGUGAAAUGCUUAGAGAUCAUACAGAACACCGAUUGCGAAGGCAGCUUACCAAGCUACUUCUGACGUUGAGGCACGAAAGCGUGGGUAGCAAACAGGAUUAGAUACCCUGGUAGUC
RNAcentral lists this ribosomal RNA (460 nucleotides) under uncultured bacterium. RNAcentral describes it as "partial 16S ribosomal RNA". It matches the Rfam family "Bacterial small subunit ribosomal RNA", at positions 338 to 795 of the family's 1533-position model. The record is from RNAcentral.